CGCCAGCAGCUGCCUCGUUGGCAGUUGGAUUAGGCCUGGGGGCGGGGACCAGACCCGGCAUCCUCGCCUGGCAAUCGCGAUGCUCAGAUUCCUUAUUUGGAGGGACGGGAGGUGGGGAGCCAGAACGGCGGAGACCGCCCGGGCCAGGGAGGAAAAUGUAGAGCAGAGGGGGGCGAGGAGAACAACACCCCCCGCACCCGCGCGGGGACAGCCCAGCCAACUUGAUCUCUAACCAGAUGGAAGGAAGAUCCUUGAGGGAGAUGAGGCACUGGGUGUACUUGGUGGGUACAUUGUGCUGUGACACUGGUGACUGAUAAAGCCUGAGGAAUCAGCAAGGGACAUUCAUGCUUAUGAGCAGGGUGAAGACGAUGAAUUUGGCACCUGAAGUUCUCCAGCCUCUUGAGGAGGGAACAAUGUGGCUGUGUGCCUUGUCCCCUCAGACUUGCGUUUCCGUGGCAGAGAACACAUUUCCUGAGAUGGGCUUGAGUCAUCUUUUUCCUCUGGUCGGGAAAUUCUGGAAGCUUGAGCUGCUCGCUGCCAUGCCUCCCCAGCCAUCAUGGACUCUUCCUCUGGAACCCUAAGCCAAAACUCUUUCUUCCGUAAGUGGCUUUUGGGAUGAUGUUUUAUCACAGCAACAAAAAGUAAUUAAUGCAGUGACCUUGACUGGGUCGCAGGAUCAGAACAAGAGCUGUGAAUGCACUAUCUGCCUGUGUCAGGAGCUUUAAAUGAAUGACCGUCCUUGCCUCCUGGGACUCCCGGCUCAAGGUUGCUAGAGGAGAAAACUGAGACUCAGCAAACUCUAUCACUCACUCUUCUUCAGCUUCAUAGUGUGAAAUAGCCAAGUCGGGGCUCAAACCCGGGUCUACUGAGGCCCGUGACUUUUCCCUAGAAGCCUGGAGUGUUGUCUUUUCGCUUCUGGACGACUCUGACAUUUACCAGAUGGUUGCUGGGAUGUCCUGGAAUUAAGAGGUCAGCAGCAGAAGUGAUCUGUUUCCCUUGGUCCUGUGCUGAUGGGCUUGUGACCAUUCUCAGCAUCUCUAGUCUGACUGUAUCCCACCAGCAUGACUCUAGUGUUAAAAAUAACCAGCAAUGACAAGAACUGGGCUUCUGCAGUCAAAAGGACAACAUAUGUUUCUCAUUUUGUCUUUUUCUUCCAUAAUUCUCUAGACAUGGAUUAAAUAUGAAAAAAGUACUUCCUGACCAAAGACUUGGAAGACACUGGGAAAGUCAUUCAAUAGUGAACUUACUGUCCAGAGAAUUCUUUUACAGGCCUCUUUAAAUUGUAAAAAAUUCUUUGACAGCAUAAUACACCUAUGCAAUAAAUUUUAGGUGUUUCA
Mesocricetus auratus (golden hamster) is the source of this 1337-nucleotide long non-coding RNA. RefSeq lists it as uncharacterized. The record is from RefSeq and is a predicted model, not a curated record. The transcript has 4 exons. NCBI's taxonomy places the organism in Eukaryota, Metazoa, Chordata, Mammalia, Rodentia, Cricetidae.